This 754-nucleotide ribosomal RNA is filed under the name Rhodococcus sp. (in: high G+C Gram-positive bacteria). RNAcentral describes it as "bacterial SSU rRNA". It matches the Rfam family "Bacterial small subunit ribosomal RNA", at positions 53 to 824 of the family's 1533-position model. The record is from RNAcentral. Lineage: Bacteria; Bacillati; Actinomycetota; Actinomycetes; Mycobacteriales; Nocardiaceae.
ACAUGCAAGUCGAGCGGUAAGGCCUUUCGGGGUACACGAGCGGCGAACGGGUGAGUAACACGUGGGUGAUCUGCCCUGCACUUCGGGAUAAGCCUGGGAAACUGGGUCUAAUACCGGAUAUGACCUCAGGUUGCAUGACUUGGGGUGGAAAGAUUUAUCGGUGCAGGAUGGGCCCGCGGCCUAUCAGCUUGUUGGUGGGGUAAUGGCCUACCAAGGCGACGACGGGUAGCCGACCUGAGAGGGUGACCGGCCACACUGGGACUGAGACACGGCCCAGACUCCUACGGGAGGCAGCAGUGGGGAAUAUUGCACAAUGGGCGAAAGCCUGAUGCAGCGACGCCGCGUGAGGGAUGACGGCCUUCGGGUUGUAAACCUCUUUCAGCAGGGACGAAGCGCAAGUGACGGUACCUGCAGAAGAAGCACCGGCUAACUACGUGCCAGCAGCCGCGGUAAUACGUAGGGUGCAAGCGUUGUCCGGAAUUACUGGGCGUAAAGAGUUCGUAGGCGGUUUGUCGCGUCGUUUGUGAAAACCAGCAGCUCAACUGCUGGCUUGCAGGCGAUACGGGCAGACUUGAGUACUGCAGGGGAGACUGGAAUUCCUGGUGUAGCGGUGAAAUGCGCAGAUAUCAGGAGGAACACCGGUGGCGAAGGCGGGUCUCUGGGCAGUAACUGACGCUGAGGAACGAAAGCGUGGGUAGCGAACAGGAUUAGAUACCCUGGUAGUCCACGCCGUAAACGGUGGGCGCUAGGUGUG